CUGCCCCAUAUAAGUCUGCGUGAUGGUGCCCCUACCACGUAAGUGACACGUAAUUAAUUACAAUCAGCCUAUUAUUACAUUUUUAUCUGGUACAUCUCGCGCGUCCAUCACAGGAAGUAGUUGUAUUGUUUGUCAAAGGUUUCCGCCGCGGGAUCAUGCGAUGGCUCGUAUAAAGACGGAGCCAGGUGGACUGGACGCAAUGAAGCAGUGACCAGUAAAGAUGAAACACUCGUUUUGUUUGGCUGUCUUUGCCCUGUGCCUCUGCCUAGUGAUGGAGUCAGCACUUGUCCGCGCUGCGCCCUCGUCUUCUGUGGAUGCUCAGAUGCCUUUGAAGCGAGUCGCUCGACAAAUGCCGCCACCGCCGCCACCUCCAGAGAUGCCUAGUGGUAUGCCGGGUAUGUUAGAACCCUCUAUUUUGUUCCAAAACAUCGCUGGUAUAUCAGGCGCUACCACGCGUAACAGAAGAGAGGCGAAAGGCGGCGGUGCCAUGCCUACAAGAAAA
Long non-coding RNA from Cydia amplana, 502 nucleotides. RefSeq lists it as uncharacterized. NCBI's taxonomy places the organism in Eukaryota, Metazoa, Arthropoda, Insecta, Lepidoptera, Tortricidae. The record is from RefSeq and is a predicted model, not a curated record. The transcript has 2 exons.